Molecule: unclassified non-coding RNA, 88 nt
Filed under: Chryseobacterium joostei
Lineage: Bacteria; Pseudomonadati; Bacteroidota; Flavobacteriia; Flavobacteriales; Weeksellaceae
Description: Flavo-1 RNA
Source: RNAcentral
UCCUAGCCCCGAUAGUAACGGUUACCCCGCAAUGGGCAACGGCUUUCUAUGCAGGCGUGAGGAGUAUGAGUGGAUAGCGGGAUAAAGC